AAAAGGAUUAAGCCCUCAGAAGGAGGUUACACACUAAGAAGAACUUCACAUAAAGUGGAAGAUAUAUCCAACCAAACAGAUGAACAAAUCUCAAGAUAGGAACACAGUAUGCAAAAGCAUGAUCAAGUUUGGUGAGACAUGGACAUUUAACAUCAGUUAGAAUGCCAACGUGGCACCUGCUUCUCAUCGGACAGGACGGGCACUGACUGUGCACUGGAAAUUGAGGGUUUUUAUGGGAACAUCUUCAACUUGAAGAGAGAUAAACAACUGCGGUCACUCAAUUCUUAACGUAGUCACUGGAAUAAAAAUGAGGCUCAACAUCUUGACAAGAGAAGACAGUGCCGUGGGGCUGACAAGGAGAGAAAGGUGCUUAACUCUUUAGCACAGAGCAUCAGUGAUUUGCAUGGUACCCAUUCUGCUUCUACAAGAGAGCAGAGCUCAGAAUCACUAAACUUUAGUGAGGGCAAAAAUGAUGUUAGAUAUAAGUCAAGC
RNAcentral lists this long non-coding RNA (492 nucleotides) under Heterocephalus glaber (naked mole-rat). RNAcentral describes it as "lncRNA (ENSHGLG00000028207.2)". The record is from RNAcentral. Lineage: Eukaryota; Metazoa; Chordata; Mammalia; Rodentia; Bathyergidae.